UACGUAGGUGACAAGCGUUGUCCGGAAUUACUGGGCGUAAAGCGCACGUAGGCGGCUUUGUAAGUUAGAGGUGAAAGCCCGGGGCUCAACUCCGGAACUGCCUUUAAGACUGCAUCGCUUGAAUCCAGGAGAGGUGAGUGGAAUUCCGAGUGUAGAGGUGAAAUUCGUAGAUAUUCGGAAGAACACCAGUGGCGAAGGCGGCUCACUGGACUGGUAUUGACGCUGAGGUGCGAAAGCGUGGGGAGCAAACAGG
RNAcentral lists this ribosomal RNA (253 nucleotides) under uncultured bacterium. RNAcentral describes it as "partial 16S ribosomal RNA". It matches the Rfam family "Bacterial small subunit ribosomal RNA", at positions 524 to 776 of the family's 1533-position model. The record is from RNAcentral.